AUUGAACGCUGGCGGCAUGCCUUACACAUGCAAGUCGAACGGCAGCGGACCUUCGGGUGCCGGCGAGUGGCGAACGGGUGAGUAAUCUAUCGGAAUGUGCCUUUCAGUGGGGGAUAACGUAGCGAAAGUUACGCUAAUACCGCAUAUUCUCUGAGGAGGAAAGCAGGGGACCUUCGGGCCUUGCGCUGAUAGAGCGGCCGAUAUCAGAUUAGCUAGUUGGUGGGGUAAAGGCCUACCAAGGCGACGAUCUGUAGCGGGUCUGAGAGGUUGAUCCGCCACACUGGGACUGAGACACGGCCCAGACUCCUACGGGAGGCAGCAGUGGGGAAUUUUGGACAAUGGGCGAAAGCCUGAUCCAGCCAUGCCGCGUGAGUGAAGAAGGCCUUCGGGUUGUAAAGCUCUUUCGGCCGGGAAGAAAUCGCACAGGCUAAUACCUUGUGUGGAUGACGGUACCGGAAUAAGAAGCACCGGCUAACUACGUGCCAGCCGCCGCAGUAA
Molecule: ribosomal RNA, 498 nt
Filed under: uncultured bacterium
Lineage: Bacteria
Description: partial 16S ribosomal RNA
Rfam family: Bacterial small subunit ribosomal RNA
Source: RNAcentral